Molecule: small RNA, 133 nt
Filed under: Marmota monax (woodchuck)
Lineage: Eukaryota; Metazoa; Chordata; Mammalia; Rodentia; Sciuridae
Source: RNAcentral
GCUGGGCUUGAUGGCUCACGCCUGUAAUCCCAGUGCUUGGGAGGCUGAGGCAGAAGGAUGGAGAGUUUGAGGACAGCCUCAGCAACUUAGUGAGGCCCUUAAGCCUAAGCAACUUAGCGAGAUCCUGUCUCAA